CCUGCCCAAUGAUUUUUAAAUGGCCGCAGAAAUUUAACUGUGCAAAGGUAGCAUAAUCAUUAGUUUUUUAAUUGAAAGCUUGUAUGAAUGGUUGGACGAGAUAAAUUCUGUCUUUUUAUAAAAAUAUGAAUUUAAUUUUUAAGUUAAAAAGCUUAAAUUAUAUUAAUAGACGAGAAGACCCUAUAGAUCUUUAUAAAAUUAUUAUUAAAUAUUUAAGGAAUAUUAAGUUUUUAAUAUGAAAUUUUAUUUUAUUGGGGUAAUAUAAAGAUUUAAAUAAUUCUUUAUUUUUAAUUACAUAAAUAUAUGAUUAUUAGAUCCAGUAAUAUUGAAAUAAGAUUAAGUUACCUUAGGGAUAACAGCGUAAUUUUUUUAGAGAGUUCAUAUCGAUAAGAAAGUUUGCGACCUCGAUGUUGGAUUAAAAUUUAUUCUAGGAGUAGAAGUUUAGAAUUUUGGUCUGUUCGACCAUUUAAAUUUU
RNAcentral lists this ribosomal RNA (475 nucleotides) under Philaccolus sp. MB366. RNAcentral describes it as "partial 16S ribosomal RNA". It matches the Rfam family "Bacterial large subunit ribosomal RNA", at positions 1858 to 2597 of the family's 2925-position model. The record is from RNAcentral. Lineage: Eukaryota; Metazoa; Arthropoda; Insecta; Coleoptera; Dytiscidae.